RNAcentral lists this ribosomal RNA (397 nucleotides) under uncultured bacterium. RNAcentral's name for it is "partial 16S ribosomal RNA". It matches the Rfam family "Bacterial small subunit ribosomal RNA", at positions 523 to 918 of the family's 1533-position model. The record is from RNAcentral.
AUACGUAGGGGGCGAGCGUUGUCCGGAAUGAUUGGGCGUAAAGGGCGCGUAGGCGGCGCGGUAAGUCUGGAGUGAAAGUCCUGCUUUCAAGGUGGGAAUUGCUUUGGAUACUGCCGCGCUUGAGUGCAGGAGAGGUUAUCGGAAUUCCCGGUGUAGCGGUGAAAUGCGUAGAGAUCGGGAGGAACACCAGUGGCGAAGGCGGGUAACUGGACUGCAACUGACGCUGAGGCGCGAAAGUGUGGGGAGCAAACAGGAUUAGAUACCCUGGUAGUCCACACUGUAAACGAUGAAUGCUAGGUGUAGGGGGUAUCGACCCCUUUUGUGCCGGAGUCAACACAAUAAGCAUUCCGUCUGGGGAGUACGGCCGCAAGGUUGAAACUCAAAGGAAUUGACGGGG